AGUGAACGCUGGCGGUAGGCCUAACACAUGCAAGUCGAACGGCAGCACAGUAAGAGCUUGCUCUUACGGGUGGCGAGUGGCGGACGGGUGAGGAAUACAUCGGAAUCUACUUUUUCGUGGGGGAUAACGUAGGGAAACUUACGCUAAUACCGCAUACGACCUACGGGUGAAAGCAGGGGAUCUUCGGACCUUGCGCGAUUGAAUGAGCCGAUGUCGGAUUAGCUAGUUGGCGGGGUAAAGGCCCACCAAGGCGACGAUCCGUAGCUGGUCUGAGAGGAUGAUCAGCCACACUGGAACUGAGACACGGUCCAGACUACUACGGGAGGCAGCAGUGGGGACUAUUGGACAAUGGGCGCAAGCCUGAUCCAGCGAUACCGCGUGGGUGAAGAAGGCCUUCGGGUUGUAAAGCCCUUUUGUUGGGAAAGAAAAGCAGCAGGUUAAUACCCCGCUGUUCUGACGGUACCCAGAGAAUAAGCACCGGCUAACUUCGUG
RNAcentral lists this ribosomal RNA (492 nucleotides) under uncultured bacterium. RNAcentral's name for it is "partial 16S ribosomal RNA". It matches the Rfam family "Bacterial small subunit ribosomal RNA", at positions 29 to 507 of the family's 1533-position model. The record is from RNAcentral.